UACUAAAAUUUUGGAGUAUUAAAUGUUGUCCAUUUCAGAAGUAAAAUAGCCUUUUGGUUUCUAUCAGUGUGUAAGAAUAGAAAUAUCAAGAGCCACUAAUCUAGUCCAUCCCACUAAUGUUUUAUAUCCAAAGAUGAGCUAGUGUAGAGUACUGGACAAAGGUUAAGAGAUUUAGCUUUCGGUCCCCAGCUCUGUAACUAACUCUCUGGCCUUAGACAAGUCUCUUAACUUAUCCAGGGUUGUUUCCUUGUCUGUAAAAUGAAAGGGGUUGGACUAGAUAAUCUGUAAGGUCCCUUUCCCAUCUUUAUUUUCCCUGGUGUUAGUGUUUGAUCUAAAAUAAUUUAAUGUAUCUUUUGCCAGUUCUCCCUACCUGUUGUUGCUAUUGUUUCUAUCAUCUUAUUGGUGGAAACAACUUAAAUUUGGUUAUGAUAAUUUGUAUAAUGUGUCUUGGUACAAUUUUGUAUAUAGUGUUCCUGAAUGUUUGCCUUUGCUACACAAAUUCCAUUUAACCUAUAAAAUAUAAAUUAACUUGUGUACUCAUUAGCACUUUCCCUUAGUACUCAUAACUUUUCUUUCACUUCUAGACUCAAAGUGUAAAACUCUUAUUACAGUAUGCUACCUAAAACUUGAAACACAUUUUUUCAAAUUCUGCAGUUCUCCUAGCAAGUUCUUUACUUUAGUGCAGAUCUGGGCUGCAGUGGGAUUAAAAAAAAAAAGGAAUUAAGAUGUAGAUAGCUACUUUUUACAGGAAAAAUUGAAAGGCAAUCAUUAUUAUUGGUUAGAAGAUUGAUUAGGAUUACCUCAAGGGAUGAUUGUCAUUUUACAUAUUUCACUCAAUAUUUUAUGUCUCUACUUAAGCAGUGUUGUUUUAAAUGUUAUUGGAUAAUUGUAACAUUUAAAAAUUAAUUUUAGUAUUUAACCAGUACCCAAGCAUUUAAUGAAAUCAUUUUGCAUGAAUGGGAGAAUAUUUCAUAGCUUGUGUUUUAUUUUGUUAUAUGAUUGAAUGUAUCAAACAGUAGUUUACUAUGAGGAUAAGACUUCACUGUUUUAGCUGAUUACCUGCAGAAAGUAUGGCUGAGCUUAAUUGAAGGAAAUUUCUUGUUAUUAGGACUUUUAUUGGGACUAUUUCCAAUCUUAUUUGGAACACUAAUCAUUGGCUGUAAGGGUUACAAAAAGAAAGCAAACAGUUGCUUGUUUGAGAGAGAUCAUCAUUGCCUGAAUUUAGCUUUGUGACUACAGCAGCAAGACCUGUUCCUGUCCGGAGACGACUGUUAAAAUAAUAUCAUCCUAUCAUUUUAUGUUUGCCCUUUAUCAGUUUGAGUAGAUGUUUACAUGUACUAUAAUUAGCAUUUUAUCUUUACAGUUCUUCUAGGGUACAUCUGAGUCCAGAAGUAAAUCUGAGUGUGUGCUUUGUCUGACAUUAUUCUUGAAUAUUUUCUCCCUUUUAUAGCCAUUUAUUUUUAAACACCUUAAGAAGGAAAAAAAAAAAACCCCAAACUUCUUGGUUUCCUAACAUGAGAUAAGUUUUCAGUCUCAGCCAAGUUGACAUUGUGUCUAGGAAAUAUAUAAAGCCAUGAUACUGUGUUCAUUAGCAUGAACAAUUUAAAAUGAUGAAAAAUGAUUAAAAAGUUAAACCUGG
This is a non-coding RNA of Vicugna pacos (alpaca), 1639 nucleotides long. The record is from RefSeq and is a predicted model, not a curated record. NCBI's taxonomy places the organism in Eukaryota, Metazoa, Chordata, Mammalia, Artiodactyla, Camelidae.